Molecule: small nuclear RNA, 105 nt
Organism: Pan paniscus (pygmy chimpanzee)
Lineage: Eukaryota; Metazoa; Chordata; Mammalia; Primates; Hominidae
Source: Ensembl
GUGCUUGCUUUGGUGACCCAUCUAAAACUUGAAUGAUACAGGGAAGGUUACUAUGGUCCUUGGGCAAAGAUGACAACGCAAAUUUGUGAAGCCAUUCACAUUUUU